GAGGGUAUAGCUCAGUGGUAGAGCGUGUGCUUAGCAUGCGUGAGGUCCUGGGUUCAAUCCCCCGUACUUACA
RNAcentral lists this transfer RNA (72 nucleotides) under Camelus bactrianus (Bactrian camel). It matches the Rfam family "tRNA". From Rfam's summary of the family: Transfer RNA (tRNA) molecules are approximately 80 nucleotides in length. RNAcentral also lists the same sequence under 1 other name. The record is from Rfam by way of RNAcentral. Lineage: Eukaryota; Metazoa; Chordata; Mammalia; Artiodactyla; Camelidae.